Molecule: small RNA, 780 nt
Filed under: Pongo abelii (Sumatran orangutan)
Lineage: Eukaryota; Metazoa; Chordata; Mammalia; Primates; Hominidae
Description: processed transcript
Source: RNAcentral
GGCGGGGCUGGGGCGGGGCUGGGGGCGACGGGGCGCGCCCCUGACCCAGCCGCCCGGCAGGCCGUGGAGCUGCGGAGCCUGUGGCGGGAGCGCGCGUGCGUGGUGGCCGGGCUGCGGCGCUUCGGGUGCGUUGUGUGCCGCUGGAUCGCCCAGGACCUCAGCAGCCUCGCUGGGCUCCUGGACCAGCACGGCGUGCGCCUGGUGGGCGUGGGGCCCGAGGCCCUGGGUCUGCAGGAGUUCCUGGACGGCGACUACUUCGCGGGAGAGCUCUACCUGGAUGAGAGCAAGCAGCUUUAUAAGGAGCUGGGCUUCAAGCGGUACAACAGCCUGAGCAUCCUCCCAGCAGCUCUGGGGAAGCCCGUGCGUGAUGUGGCUGCCAAGGUUUGUGUGGGUCAAGGGUGUACAGGCCGGGGGGUGGGUGGUGGGAGCUCCCAGGGGCCUUUCCUCUAGGAUUGACCCAGGCUGUGCCCACUCCUGACAGGCCAAGGCUGUUGGCAUCCAGGGGAACUUGUCUGGGGACCUGCUGCAGAGCGGAGGGCUGCUGGUGGUCAGCAAAGGUGGUGAUAAAGUGCUGCUGCAUUUCGUCCAGAAGUCCCCAGGCGACUACGUCCCCAAGGAGCACAUCCUGCAGGUUCUGGGCAUCUCUGCGGAGGUCUGUGCCAGCAACCCGCCUCAGUGUGACAGAGAGGCGUGAGGGAGGCGAAGGCCCUGGCCCCCGAGGAGCUGGGUGGCGUCUGCUGCCCUAGGUGUGCUGGAAGUCCGCUUGGAAGAACUGUUCUG